GAGUUAAAUUUAAGGUCUGACCUGCCCACUGAAUUUUUUAAAGGCCGCAGUAUACUGACUGUGCAAAGGUAGCAUAAUAAUUAGUCUUUUAAUUGAAGGCUGGAAUGAAUGGUUGGACGAAAUAUUAGCUGUUUCACUUGAAAUUUUUAUAGAAUUUUAUUUUUUAGUCAAAAAGCUAAAAUUAAAUUAAAAGACGAGAAGACCCUAUAAAGCUUUAUAAUUAAUGGGUGAUAGCCUAAUAAGAAUAUUUUAUGUAGUCAUUCAUUGAUUAUUUUAUUGGGGUGAUAUUAAAAUUUAAUAAACUUUUAAUUUUUAUUUUCAUUUAUUUAUGAACUAUUGAUCCACUUAUAGUGAUUAAAAGAAUAAGUUACUUUAGGGAUAACAGCGUAAUUUUUUUGGAGAGUUCUUAUCGAUAAAAAAGAUUGCGACCUCGAUGUUGGAUUAAGAGAUUCCCUUAGGUGUAGCCGCUUAAGAGGAAAGUCUGUUCGACUUUUAAAUUCUUA
Molecule: ribosomal RNA, 503 nt
Filed under: Coremacera fabricii
Lineage: Eukaryota; Metazoa; Arthropoda; Insecta; Diptera; Sciomyzidae
Description: partial 16S ribosomal RNA
Rfam family: Bacterial large subunit ribosomal RNA
Source: RNAcentral